AUGGGGGAGAUGGUGAAGACGUGGGUUGGGGUUGGAACGCCGAGCGCUUCCAUCCAAGAAAGUUCUUAUCUCAGCGAACCGUGCCCCUGUCGCGCACGCAGGCUCAAGGCCGAGCUUGGCAGCGACAUCAGUAACCUCCAGGUCUCUCUCGAUGACCACGAGGAGCAUUCCAAGGGGAAUGUCAUGACCCUCUGCCCUGCCGAGGACGAGAGACGCUUCUACCAGGCCGUCUUCCAGAUGCGCCACUACGACCUUGUGUCAACUUCUACCUUCCCUUUGUCCUUGCUGAGGGCCGCGCCGUCAUCAUCAAGAACCGCCAGCGCCGCCUCUUCAUCAACUGCGGCGGAAUCCAUCAUCGACGACCUCAUAGUGUUCAAGGAGGGUAAGGAGUACUACACCAAGGUUAAUAAGGCAUGGAAGCGGGGGUUGCCCCCUGUACGGUUCGCCCGACACCGCCAAGACAAGAAGGCCUCUAGUAACAAUGACUCCCAUGACUAUGAACCUGACCCGACGGAUCCACCGAAGGACAAUGAAAGCAAGGGCGUCAAGGUGCUCACCAAGAACUACCUGGACUUCAUGGAGCAUGGGCUGUUUGGGGAGAUCCGACGGCUGCUCGAGGAGACCAACAUGUCACCCACCGAUGUGGCACCUCAAUACCUCAUGCCAAUGUCGACAAAGAAGAAGAGGGACCCCGAUUUGUGUUUAUCAGGCCUAAUUGAGGCGCUCAAGCAGGCCAAGGAAGACGUGGCAGCGGCAAAGGAGAAGGCAAAGGGAGAAGAGGAGGCAGAAGCGGAGAAAGCCAAGAAGAAAGGAGCAAAGGCGAAGAAAAAAAAGGAGAAAGACGACAGAAAGGGCCCAACACCAGAGGAAGCUAAAUGA
RNAcentral lists this ribosomal RNA (879 nucleotides) under Triticum aestivum (bread wheat). Its description in RNAcentral is "partial small subunit ribosomal RNA". The record is from RNAcentral. Lineage: Eukaryota; Viridiplantae; Streptophyta; Magnoliopsida; Poales; Poaceae.